Molecule: long non-coding RNA, 1248 nt
Organism: Rhipicephalus sanguineus (brown dog tick)
Lineage: Eukaryota; Metazoa; Arthropoda; Arachnida; Ixodida; Ixodidae
Exons: 4
Source: RefSeq, a predicted model, not a curated record
CAUCUCCAUUCUCACUCAUGUGUUUGACGUCCAAUCUACAUCAUCAAACUUUUACAAUACAGAUGAUGGCUUACAGAAGAAGUUUUGUUCAAAACAGUGAUCUAUUUAAAUAUAUAGUUUGCUUUCUUCUGAGGUGAAAUACUUGUCGUUGCUGAAAGCUGAAAUGCAUGAUAUUGCAGAAGCAAAUGAGUCUGGUUACAUAGAGAGCAGAUUAACGUGCGGGAAUUAGUUACUUCAUAGAUGAAGUAAUUAACUUAAUUUACCCUUCCUGUGCUUAGCAAUGCAGAAUAAUUAAGACUAUGUAAUCCACAUUCAAUGUCAGGCAAUCUUUUGACAUAUUGCAAUGUAUGUAGUCACCCAAAGGCACUGAAGAGAUUUUCUUAAAAAACAACAGAUAAGCAAAACAGUAAGAAAUUCAAUUGCUAACGUAUCCAAAAACCUUUCAAAGCACUUUAAAGUUAACAACCACAAUAAAAAAAAUUAAUUCCACAAUAAAAGCCUGUGUUCCUGACCUUUACGGCUUCUUGUUUGUAUGACAAUGGGACAUGUGGUGAAUAAGAUUGCAUUUCCACGAAAAGGAUGCAUGGCAUUGGUCACAGGAAAAGGGACGAUCUCCCAUGUGGAUGUGCAUGUGGUUCUUGAGAUGGUGUUUCCGUGAGAAGGAUACGUUACAGCGGUCACAGGAAAAGGGACGCUCUCUUGUGUGGGUGCGAAUGUGACGCAUGAGGUGGUGUUUCCGUGAGAAGGAUGCAUUACAGUGGACACAGGAAAAAGGCCGCUCUCCUGUGUGGGUGCGAAUGUGGUUAUUGAGAUCGGCUGUCUGAAUGAAUGACGCAGGACACAGGUGGCACUCAAAGGGGCGCCUGCCUGUGUGUAUGCAAAGGUGUUUGCUCAUGUUUGCCUUGUCCUUGGUCACAUAGGUGCACUGCUGGCAGGAAUGCAGUCCGCCUUGUACAGACACAAGUGAAUGGUAUUGCUCCAGGGAUGCCAAAGACAGAGAACCUGCAAAGCCACAGAGAGAACACGAAACGAUGAAAACCAUGUGUCAUACACUACAUGGAAAUGGACUGCAGGAAACACUAGACAAUCAACAAUUAAUGCUGCACUUCUAACUGAUGUAGUUGGUAACCUUGGCCUACCCAAACUACCCGUUACUGAAGUGGAAACCAUGCACUGACCCUGAACAAGUCUCACGCAAGUUCCCAUCUCUUUGUACAUAAAUACACUGGGUGAUACAUGCGAACGCAU